RNAcentral lists this ribosomal RNA (528 nucleotides) under uncultured bacterium. RNAcentral describes it as "bacterial SSU rRNA". It matches the Rfam family "Bacterial small subunit ribosomal RNA", at positions 777 to 1304 of the family's 1533-position model. The record is from RNAcentral.
AAUAGAUACCCGGGUAGUCCAUGCCGUAAACGAUGUCUACUAGCCGUUGGGUCCUUUGAGGACUUAGUGGCGCAGCUAACGCGAUAAGUAGACCGCCUGGGGAGUACGGUCGCAAGACUAAAACUCAAAUGAAUUGACGGGGGCCCGCACAAGCGGUGGAGCAUGUGGUUUAAUUCGAUGCAACGCGAAGAACCUUACCUGGCCUUGACAUACUAGAAACUUUCCAGAGAUGGAUUGGUGCCUUCGGGAAUCUAGAUACAGGUGCUGCAUGGCUGUCGUCAGCUCGUGUCGUGAGAUGUUGGGUUAAGUCCCGCAACGAGCGCAACCCUUUUCCUUACUUGCCAGCAUUUUGGAUGGGAACUUUAAGGAUACUGCCAGUGACAAACUGGAGGAAGGCGGGGACGACGUCAAGUCAUCAUGGCCCUUACGGCCAGGGCUACGACACGUGCUACAAUGGUCGGUACAAAGGGUUGCUACCUAGCGAUAGGAUGCUAAUCUCAAAAAGCCGAUCGUAGUCCGGAUUGGAGU